This is a long non-coding RNA of Humulus lupulus (European hop), 1677 nucleotides long. RefSeq lists it as uncharacterized. The record is from RefSeq and is a predicted model, not a curated record. NCBI's taxonomy places the organism in Eukaryota, Viridiplantae, Streptophyta, Magnoliopsida, Rosales, Cannabaceae. The transcript has 6 exons.
UCUUCUUGUUACUCAUCAUAAGUGACUGCUGGCCAACCAUAAAUUAUUGAUUGCAGGGACUUAUGGAGGAAAUCAAUGCUGUCUUAAGUAGAAAGUUAGAUUUCGAGGUGUUAAACUUUCUGGCCUUGAUCUUUCAAAACUGGAUUUGUCUUAUGUGGACUUCAUCCAUGCUUGUCUUAGAGAUGUAUUCUUCUCACGUGCAAACCUACAGUGUGCCAAGUUCCGGAAUGUGGAUGCUGAGGGUGCGAUCUUUCAUAAUGCAAUUUUGCAAGAAUGUGAAUUUACAGGGGCCAAUUUGCGCGGAGCUUUAUUAGCUGGUGCUAAUCUUAAGAGUGCAAACCUACAAGGCAAACUCUCUACACUCUGAUAAUCAUUAAGUAACUGUCAUUAGACACAUCAUCUUGAUCUUAAACAAAGUUUCGUUUCUUAUCAAAAACCAAAAAUGUCAUAUAUACAAUUUGGCUCCACUCAUGUAUUUUCUUGUUGCAUCAUCUUGUAUUUCUUGGUAAUUGCAUGUCUUUUUAAUGUAAACUCUACUUUCAUACAGAUCCACCCUUUUUUCUUACUGUGAUAAGAAUAAUCUUGAAAAUCCCUUACCUUGUUACCAUUUUAUUUGGUUUUAUUUGUUAUGGUGUCAUGGGGAUAUGAAUACUCUAUACUACUUACUGUAAGGGAGAUUGGAUAUAUUAAAUUUGACAAACUCUUCAGUGUUUUCUCUCAUUUUUGCGGUUUCUCUCCUUUGGCCAUGGAUUUAGCUUGAUUUUAUCUUUUAUUUCCAAUUUCACUGCAUCAGUUUUCAACUAUCAAAUAGGAUGGUGAUGAAAGUGAAAACACCACAACAUCAGAUUUCAGCUAUCCUUUGGCUUAAUACUAUUAUAGAUCUCUGCAUUGUUUAUUAUAUUCUUUAUAUUGAUCUUGGGUCAGAGUAACUGUAAACAUCUUGUGUCACUUCUAAAAAAGUGUUCACAAUUUAUUUAAAAGAUGAUAAUUUUCUUUGAUAUAAAAGAUGUGGAGGAUUUGUCCUACUUCAUUUGCCUUCUUUUUAUGAUUGUUAAUUUCCUAUCCUAAGUAGUACUAUCAAUUUUUUUAGUACUCCUUGCCAACUUUUUUGUUUGAAUAGUUUUCUUUUUUAGUUAUUUUAAUUUUAAUUGCAUAGUUUAUCUAAGUUUGUAGAGUUUUCUUUUGCAGAUGCAUGUUUAAUUGGUAGUAGUUUCUGGCAUGGAUAUGAUUGCUGAUAAUAAAUUCUUGUAAGUUGCAUGUUACUUCCUCAUCACGUCUGGACGUAUACAAAUGAGAAUCUUUGCUAUCAUAUUUGAUAAAUCUUUGUUUCUGUUUAUUUAGGUCAGUGUUCUACAAGUGUCCAGCCUUCCAUGUACACAUUCCUAGACCACCAAGUGGAGUUCAUUAUCCAAAUAAGUCUAUCAUCAAGAAGCAUGUUAAACCCACACCAUUUUUUUGGCAUGAGAAGUCUGCUGUUGUUGGACGGUUGCAUUCUUUAAGCUAAACAAAUGGACUCACAACAAAGACAAGUGCACAAAGGAUGAUGAAUUGAAGGAUGGAGCAAGUUUCACGCAUGAUUUACUUUUGUGUAUCUUGUAAUGUUUCUAUUUUUCAUUUUUGAAGUAAAAAUUGUUCAAGAUUAUAAAACUUUAUUAUGUUAUGCUUUCAAACUUAAGU